GAUAGCGCCCAUUGGGUUAACUUUGGUUUUAAUGUUGUUUCCGGUGUAACUUUGGUCGGUGAGGCCGGACAUGGCGGGCCCACUUCGGUGGGCUUUCG
RNAcentral lists this small RNA (98 nucleotides) under Enterobacteria phage HK225. RNAcentral's name for it is "isrB Hfq binding RNA". It matches the Rfam family "isrB Hfq binding RNA". The record is from Rfam by way of RNAcentral. Lineage: Duplodnaviria; Heunggongvirae; Uroviricota; Caudoviricetes.